CCUCCUUUCUAAGGAAACCAAAAUAAAAUCAAUCAUCUUCAGUUUUGAAAGACUUAGGCAACUAAGUUUUUCUUCGUGACUUCUAACGAAGGGCCUAUAGCUCAGUUGGUUAGAGCACACGCCUGAUAAGCGUGAGGUCGGUGGUUCUCAAGUCCAUUUAGGCCCACCAGAGUUAUAGGUUUCGUAAGAACACAAAUUCUUUGAAAAGCUUAGGUAAAUAAUAGUUAUUUAUCCGGAACAUUAAAGGAA
This 249-nucleotide unclassified non-coding RNA is filed under the name Borazjan(Iran) faba bean phyllody phytoplasma. RNAcentral describes it as "partial 16S-23S ribosomal RNA intergenic spacer". The stretch from base 91 to 166 matches the Rfam family "tRNA". The record is from RNAcentral. Lineage: Bacteria; Bacillati; Mycoplasmatota; Mollicutes; Acholeplasmatales; Acholeplasmataceae.